RNAcentral lists this transfer RNA (72 nucleotides) under Ovis aries (sheep). It matches the Rfam family "tRNA". From Rfam's summary of the family: Transfer RNA (tRNA) molecules are approximately 80 nucleotides in length. Their secondary structure includes four short double-helical elements and three loops (D, anti-codon, and T loops). The record is from Rfam by way of RNAcentral. Lineage: Eukaryota; Metazoa; Chordata; Mammalia; Artiodactyla; Bovidae.
UCCCUGGUGGUCCAGUGGCUAAGACGCUGCACUCCCGAUGCAGGCGGCCAGGUUCAAUCUCUGGUCAGGGAA